AGGACGAGCAGAGAUGCGAAAGGGCAACUUACUUCCAAAGUGACACUAACUUUAUAAUUCUUUGGAGACUUUGAAGAAAAAAAAAAAAAGAAGAAUUUUAGCAGAGUAGAGAGAACCCAAUGAUAGUUUUGCUUACUGCUACUGUUCCUCUUUCAAGUCUUGGUUGACAGUGUUCCACUGGUUGCCACAACUUGCUUUCUCUGCUGCUCUGUAAAGAAAAUCCAAACUCCCAAGUCAAGGUAAA
Long non-coding RNA from Rosa chinensis, 244 nucleotides. RefSeq lists it as uncharacterized. The record is from RefSeq and is a predicted model, not a curated record. Lineage: Eukaryota; Viridiplantae; Streptophyta; Magnoliopsida; Rosales; Rosaceae. The transcript has 3 exons.